GAAUGCAACGAUCACCAGUUCCAUAGAUAAUGAAACAACAGGAAGGCAAGCAAAACAGUAAAAGGAUACUGGGCAAGGCAAUUUUUUGGGUGGCCGAAACAACUCCGGAUGCAUCUAACAAGAUGGGCAUUUUCCAGUGAUAAAUUCCAGCCUACAAGUAGAAUACGAUGUGGUUAGCCUUCAUAGGCAGCGUAUCAUAUGCCAUUUUAUCAACGUGCAGGUCAACUGGGACGAAUUACAAAGGUAGUAACUUUUGUGUUAAAAAAACAUGACAAGGACACUGAUGUUAUUAGAAUAUAACCAAAGUAUUUAAUCUAUAGUUUGCAAUAUAAAGCAACCAACUUUGCUUCACAAAACAUAGUGAACACCUAAUACGUCAGGUUAUUCAUACGAUGUUUGCGAUAUACCUAUACGCGUUCCAUUCAAUGUUUGUGACAUACCCGCGCCGCAACGCGCUCGGGUCUGACCACUAGUUAGUAAGAAGAAGAUAGCUGCAAUAAUAUAUGGGGAAGCCAUUUGAGAGAAUGGAUUUGAUGAUGGGUAUGAAGUUGAAAGAUGGAAUGCAAAUAAAAGGGCAUGAAGGAGGCUUAUAUAGUGUUUGAGGUAAGCCGCGUGGUGAAGAUGUCUUUGUUUGAUCAACAGUUGUAUGAUGGGCUGACUUUGUCCUUUGCUCGUUCACGCAUGGAAGCUCAGCAAAAUGUUAAAAUUUGACAUUCUCACCAAGUCAAUAAAGUUACUCCUCUAUUCAAAUAUUAAACUAACACAUGCAUCCACUACAGCACUACUUUUCUUUUGUCCCAAGAUGACUACAUAUAUAAAAGAGUUUACUAGCUAUAAAUAACAUUAUAAAUGUUAUUAAUAGUUAUAAGUUAUAUUAUGACAUGUUUAUAAAUAUAGCGAUCUAAUAUAUUUAUUUCACACGCUUGACGCUUGCUAGCUUUAAUAUGAUUUUAUCCCAACUCUAGAAGCAAAAUAAUUAGGCUGACAAUAUCAUG
Molecule: long non-coding RNA, 995 nt
Organism: Helianthus annuus (common sunflower)
Lineage: Eukaryota; Viridiplantae; Streptophyta; Magnoliopsida; Asterales; Asteraceae
Exons: 3
Source: RefSeq, a predicted model, not a curated record